GACGAACGCUGGCGGCGUGCUUAACACAUGCAAGUCGAACGGUGAAGCGCCUUCCUUUUUGGUGGGUGUGGAUGAGUGGCGAACGGGUGAGUAACACGUUAGUAACCUGCCCCCUUCUUCUGGAUAACCGCAUGAAAGUGUGGCUAAUACGGGAUAUUCUGGGUCUGUCGCAUGAUGGGUCUGGGAAAGAUAUUGUUUCGGUGGGGGAUGGGCUCGCGGCCUAUCAGCUUGUUGGUGGGGUGAUGGCCUACCAAGGCGGUGACGGGUAGCCGGCCUGAGAGGGUGGACGGUCACAAUGGGACUGAGACACGGGCCAGACUCCUACGGGAGGCAGCAGUGGGGAAUAUUGCACAAUGGGCGCAAGCCUGAUGCAGCGAAGCCGCGUGAGGGAUGGAGGCCUUCGGGUUGUGAACCUCUUUCGCCAGUGAAGCAGGCCUGCCUCGUUUGUGGGUGGGUUGACGGUAGCUGGAUAAGAAGCGCCGGCUAACUACGU
RNAcentral lists this ribosomal RNA (493 nucleotides) under uncultured bacterium. RNAcentral's name for it is "partial 16S ribosomal RNA". It matches the Rfam family "Bacterial small subunit ribosomal RNA", at positions 28 to 506 of the family's 1533-position model. The record is from RNAcentral.